GGCCGCGUGAAUUAGAUUCAGGCUUAACACAUCCAAGUCGUCCGAGAGUUUUUAACUAUAGUGGCGGAGGGGUGAGUAGCACGUGAGGAUUUGCCUCUAGGAGGGGGACAACAAUUGGAAAAAAAUGGUAAUACCCCAUAUGCUUUGGAGUGAAAUGAAUUUUAUCCGCCUAGAGAGAAGCUCGCGGCUGAUUAGCUUGUUGGUAAGGUAAGAGCUUACCAAGGCGACGAUCAGUAUCUGGUUUGAGAGGACGAUCAGACACACUGGAACUGAGACACGGUCCAGACUCCUACGGGAGGCAGCAGUGGGGAAUUUUCCGCAAUGAGGGAAAGCCUGACGGAGCAAUACCGCGUGAGGGAAGAAAGGCUAUGGGUUGUAAACCUCUUUUUUCAGGGAGGAAUAAAAUGACGUGUACCGAAGA
Molecule: ribosomal RNA, 421 nt
Filed under: uncultured bacterium
Lineage: Bacteria
Description: bacterial SSU rRNA
Rfam family: Bacterial small subunit ribosomal RNA
Source: RNAcentral